GCCGGGAUGGCGGAAUUGGCAGACGCGCUAGGUUCAGGACCUAGUGGGAUUUAAUCCCGUGGGGGUUCGAGUCCCCCUCCCGGCACAA
The sequence is a transfer RNA, 88 nucleotides long. It matches the Rfam family "tRNA". From Rfam's summary of the family: Transfer RNA (tRNA) molecules are approximately 80 nucleotides in length.